CCUAACACAUGCAAGUCGAACGGUAACAGGAAACAGCUUGCUGUUUCGCUGACGAGUGGCGGACGGGUGAGUAAUGUCUGGGAAACUGCCUGAUGGAGGGGGAUAACUACUGGAAACGGUAGCUAAUACCGCAUAACGUCGCAAGACCAAAGAGGGGGACCUUCGGGCCUCUUGCCAUCAGAUGUGCCCAGAUGGGAUUAGCUAGUAGGUGGGGUAACGGCUCACCUAGGCGACGAUCCCUAGCUGGUCUGAGAGGAUGACCAGCCACACUGGAACUGAGACACGGUCCAGACUCCUACGGGAGGCAGCAGUGGGGAAUAUUGCACAAUGGGCGCAAGCCUGAUGCAGCCAUGCCGCGUGUAUGAAGAAGGCCUUCGGGUUGUAAAGACUUUCA
This 394-nucleotide ribosomal RNA is filed under the name uncultured bacterium. Its description in RNAcentral is "bacterial SSU rRNA". It matches the Rfam family "Bacterial small subunit ribosomal RNA", at positions 47 to 438 of the family's 1533-position model. The record is from RNAcentral.